This 253-nucleotide ribosomal RNA is filed under the name uncultured bacterium. Its description in RNAcentral is "partial 16S ribosomal RNA". It matches the Rfam family "Bacterial small subunit ribosomal RNA", at positions 524 to 776 of the family's 1533-position model. The record is from RNAcentral.
UACGUAGGCAGCGAGCGUUGUUCGGAAUUACUGGGCGUAAAGAGGGUGUAGGCGGUGCUCUAAGUUCGGUGUGAAAUCUCCCGGCUUAACUGGGAGGGUGCGCCGGAAACUGGAGUGCUCGAGCGUGGGAGAGGAAAGCGGAAUUCCUGGUGUAGCGGUGAAAUGCGUAGAUAUCAGGAGGAACACCUGCGGUGUAGACGGCUUUCUGGACCAUUGCUGACGCUGAGACACGAAAGCGUGGGUAGCAAACAGG